CGGUGGAGUGAUUUGUCUGGUUAAUUCCGUUAACGAACGAGACCUCGACCUGCUAAAUAGUUCGGCAAGCCCUUGGGCUUGCGCGGUACUUCUUAGAGGGACUAUCGGUGGUUAGCCGAUGGAAGUUCGAGGCAAUAACA
Molecule: ribosomal RNA, 140 nt
Filed under: uncultured eukaryote
Lineage: Eukaryota
Description: partial 18S ribosomal RNA
Rfam family: Eukaryotic small subunit ribosomal RNA
Source: RNAcentral